AAGGCGACGAUCCCUAGCUGGUCUGAGAGGAUGACCAGCCACACUGGAACUGAGACACGGUCCAGACUCCUACGGGAGGCAGCAGUGGGGAAUAUUGCACAAUGGGGGAAACCCUGAUGCAGCCAUGCCGCUUGUGUGAAGAAGGCCUUCGGGUUGUAAAGCACUUUCAGCGAGGAGGAAAGGUGGCUAGCUAAUACCUAGUUGCUGUGACGUUACUCGCAGAAGAAGCACCGGCUAACUCCGUGCCAGCAGCCGCGGUAAUACGGAGGGUGCAAGCGUUAAUCGGAAUAACUGGGCGUAAAGCGCACGCAGGCGGUUAGAUAAGUCAGAUGUGAAAGCCCCGGGCUCAACCUGGGAACUGCAUCUGAUACUGGCAAGC
This 379-nucleotide ribosomal RNA is filed under the name uncultured bacterium. RNAcentral describes it as "bacterial SSU rRNA". It matches the Rfam family "Bacterial small subunit ribosomal RNA", at positions 270 to 641 of the family's 1533-position model. The record is from RNAcentral.